This 78-nucleotide ribosomal RNA is filed under the name Eubacterium ramulus. RNAcentral's name for it is "partial 23S ribosomal RNA". The record is from RNAcentral. Lineage: Bacteria; Bacillati; Bacillota; Clostridia; Eubacteriales; Eubacteriaceae.
CGAGGUAGAUAGGGCAGAGGUGGAAGUGUGGCAACACAUGGAGCUGACUGUUACUAAUCGUUUGAGGGCUUGACCAAG